CAUGGUUGUCGUCAGCUCGUGCCGUGAGGUGUCGGGUUAAGUCCCAUAACGAGCGCAACCCCUACCUUAGUUGCCAUCAGGUUAAGCUGGGGACUCUAAAGGAACUGCCUACGCAAGUAGUGAGGAAGGCGGGGAGUGACGUCAAAUCAGCACGGCCCUUACGUCCAGGGCUACACACGUGCUACAAUGGCUGAUACAGAGGGCAGCUACCUGGUGACAGGAUGCAAAUCUCCAAAGUCGGUCUCAGUUCGGAUCGGAGUCUGCAACCCGACUCCGUGAAGUUGGAUUCGCUAGUAAUCGCGCAUCAGCCAUGGCGCGGUGAAUACGUUCCCGGGCCUU
Molecule: ribosomal RNA, 339 nt
Filed under: uncultured Sphingobacteriales bacterium
Lineage: Bacteria; Pseudomonadati; Bacteroidota; Sphingobacteriia; Sphingobacteriales
Description: bacterial SSU rRNA
Rfam family: Bacterial small subunit ribosomal RNA
Source: RNAcentral